GACGAACGCUGGCGGCGUGCUUAACACAUGCAAGUCGAGCGGAAAGGCCACUUCGGUGGUACUCGAGCGGCGAACGGGUGAGUAACACGUGAGUAAUCUGCCCCUGGCUUUGGGAUAGCCACCGGAAACGGUGAUUAAUACCGGAUACGACCACUUCUCGCAUGGGAUGGCGGUGGAAAGUUUUUUCGGCCAGGGAUGUGCCCGCGGCCUAUCAGCUUGAUGGUGAGGUAAUGGCUCACCAUGGCUUCGACGGGUAGCCGGCCUGAGAGGGUGACCGGUCACACUGGGACUGAGACACGGCCCAGACUCCUACGGGAGGCAGCAGUGGGGAAUAUUGGACAAUGGGCGGAAGCCUGAUCCAGCAACGCUGCGUGAGGGAUGACGGCCUUCGGGUUGUAAACCUCUUUCAGCAGGGACGAAGCGCAAGUGACGGUACCUGCAGAAGAAGCACCGGCCAACUACGUGCCAGCAGCCGCAGUAA
This 481-nucleotide ribosomal RNA is filed under the name uncultured bacterium. RNAcentral describes it as "partial 16S ribosomal RNA". It matches the Rfam family "Bacterial small subunit ribosomal RNA", at positions 28 to 523 of the family's 1533-position model. The record is from RNAcentral.